UAAGGAAUAUUGGACAAUGGGCGGAAGCCUGAUCCAGCCAUCCCGCGUGCAGGACGAAGGCCCUCUGGGUUGUAAACUGCUUUUGUUAGGGAAGAAACCCCUGGAUUUAUCCGGGGCUGACGGUACCUAAAGAAUAAGCACCGGCUAACUCCGUGCCAGCAGCCGCGGUAAUACGGAGGGUGCAAGCGUUAUCCGGAAUCACUGGGUUUAAAGGGUGCGUAGGCGGCGUUAUAAGUCAGAGGUGAAAGGCCACCGCUUAACGGUGGGACUGCCUUUGAUACUGUAGUGCUUGAAUAAGGUUGAGGUUAGCGGAAUGUGACAUGUAGCGGUGAAAUGCAUAGAUAUGUCAUAGAACACCAAUUGCGAAGGCAGCUGGCUAGACCUUUAUUGACGCUGAGGCACGAAAGCGUGGGGAGCGAACAGG
Molecule: ribosomal RNA, 424 nt
Filed under: uncultured Saprospiraceae bacterium
Lineage: Bacteria; Pseudomonadati; Bacteroidota; Saprospiria; Saprospirales; Saprospiraceae
Description: bacterial SSU rRNA
Rfam family: Bacterial small subunit ribosomal RNA
Source: RNAcentral